This 620-nucleotide ribosomal RNA is filed under the name Nesterenkonia sp. SCULCB HNA-25. RNAcentral's name for it is "bacterial SSU rRNA". It matches the Rfam family "Bacterial small subunit ribosomal RNA", at positions 63 to 695 of the family's 1533-position model. The record is from RNAcentral. Lineage: Bacteria; Bacillati; Actinomycetota; Actinomycetes; Micrococcales; Micrococcaceae.
CCAGCUCUGACAGGCGCUUGCACGGUUGGAUUAGUGGCGAACGGGUGAGUAUCACGUGAGUAACCUUCCCUUGACUCUGGGAUAAGCCCGGGAAACUGGGUCUAAUACCGGAUACGACCAGUCCUCGCAUGGGGUGCUGGUGGAAAGAUUUAUCGGUCUUGGAUGGACUCGCGGCCUAUCAGCUUGUUGGUGAGGUAAAGGCUCACCAAGGCGAUGACGGGUAGCCGGCCUGAGAGGGUGACCGGCCACACUGGGACUGAGACACGGCCCAGACUCCUACGGGAGGCAGCAGUGGGGAAUAUUGCACAAUGGGCGAAAGCCUGAUGCAGCGACGCCGCGUGCGGGAUGACGGCCUUCGGGUUGUAAACCGCUUUCAGCAGGGAAGAAGCGAAAGUGACGGUACCUGCAGAAGAAGCGCCGGCUAACUACGUGCCAGCAGCCGCGGUAAUACGUAGGGCGCGAGCGUUAUCCGGAAUUAUUGGGCGUAAAGAGCUCGUAGGCGGUUUGUCACGUCUGCUGUGAAAGCCCGGGGCUCAACCCCGGGUGUGCAGUGGGUACGGGCAGACUAGAGUGCAGUAGGGGAGACUGGAAUUCCUGGUGUAGCGGUGAAAUGCGCAGAU